CCUUAUUUAAAAAGAAAUAAAAGCUUUAAAAAAAUCAAAUUCUUUGGCAUGAGUCAUUCAUCCGGUAUGUUAUGAACAAACAACAGUUUCUGUACGUGGUGUGUGUGUCAGCGGUUCUGUCAUGCAUCGCCACCAUCACUGAGAAACACACCAGGCCCACCAAGUGACCACUAUGACUCCACAAUCAAGACCAAUGUCACAAUAGAUGAAUCCCCCACAGAGUAAUUAACCAAUGAAUCCAAAACCAACCAACAAUGUACAACGGCAUCAAACCAACCCGCCUCUGGCACAGGACAGGACGAAAGCAUUUCUGGAGGCUUGUAAACGAGAGAAUCAAUGCAAGGCCUGGAUUCGACGUUAGCGAAAAAAAAGAUAGACUUCAAAUUCUUGCGAUAGUCUUAACUGGCCUCUCUAGCAUUAUGUACAGCUAUGGAAUGUUCAGUCCGCCGCUAGACACGACCACUAUAAUAAGACCCCCGGGGUCUUGCGAUGGUGUUAGGAGAAGAUGUCCCAACAUGCCUCCAUGUGGUUCUAACGAUUCGCGCAGGAGAUAAAAUUAAAUUUAUUGUAUUAAUGUUUGAACAGGAAUAAAUGUGUAACUUACUUGAUUA
Molecule: long non-coding RNA, 611 nt
Organism: Manduca sexta (tobacco hornworm)
Lineage: Eukaryota; Metazoa; Arthropoda; Insecta; Lepidoptera; Sphingidae
Exons: 2
Source: RefSeq, a predicted model, not a curated record